GGGGCCUGCAGCGGCCGGGGGCGAUGCGGGGCCUCCCUGGGGCCGUCCUGCGCCGCCGGAGCCGCUAGAUUGGGCAAUGUUUGUCCAGACUGAAAGAAAAGCAAUAAAUCAAAAAGUCAACAGACAAAAAAUAUCUGAUGGAUAUAAUGAAAGAGAUGAAGGGUGAGAGAUGACACACGGAUGAGUUUUGCACAAAAAUGUUUAAUGGUGCCUUGUUUACCCGGACUAUGGAAGAACGAGGGCCUCCCUUUCCCAAGACUCUUUCUGCAUCAUGGGGAGUAUUGAAGGGGACUUGUCAUUGCCUCUAGCUGCCAUUUAAAACUGUCUCUACUCCCUGCAGAAAAGACUGUAGAUGUUUUC
Catharus ustulatus (Swainson's thrush) is the source of this 360-nucleotide long non-coding RNA. RefSeq lists it as uncharacterized. The record is from RefSeq and is a predicted model, not a curated record. The transcript has 3 exons. Lineage: Eukaryota; Metazoa; Chordata; Aves; Passeriformes; Turdidae.